GGAAUAUUGGUCAGUGGAUGCAAGUCUGAACCAGCCAUGCCGCGUGCAGGAAGAAGGCCCUAUGGGUCGUAAACUGCUUUUAUACCAGAGAAAACCCUCGUACGUGUCCGAGGCUGAUAGUAUGGUAAGAAUAAGCAUCGGCUAACUUCGUGCCAGCCGCCGCGGUAAGACGAAGGAUGCAAGCGUUAUCCGGAUUCAUUGGGUUUAAAGGGUGCGUAGGCGGACUUGUAAGUCAGUGGUGAAAUCUCUUUGCUUAACAAAGAAACUGCCAUUGAUACUGCUAGUCUAGAGUAUAGAUGACGUUGGCGGAAUAUGACAUGUAGUGGUGAAAUACUUAGAUAUGUCAUAGAACACCGAUUGCGAAGGCAGCUAACGAAACUAUAACUGACGCUGAGGCACGAAAGUGCGGGGAUCAA
RNAcentral lists this ribosomal RNA (416 nucleotides) under uncultured bacterium. RNAcentral's name for it is "bacterial SSU rRNA". It matches the Rfam family "Bacterial small subunit ribosomal RNA", at positions 358 to 771 of the family's 1533-position model. The record is from RNAcentral.